RNAcentral lists this ribosomal RNA (253 nucleotides) under uncultured bacterium. RNAcentral describes it as "partial 16S ribosomal RNA". It matches the Rfam family "Bacterial small subunit ribosomal RNA", at positions 524 to 776 of the family's 1533-position model. The record is from RNAcentral.
UACGUAGGGCGCAAGCGUUGUCCGGAAUUAUUGGGCGUAAAGGGCUCGUAGGCGGCUUGUCACGUCGGGUGUGAAAGCCCGGGGCUUAACCCCGGGUCUGCAUUCGAUACGGGCUAGCUAGAGUGUGGUAGGGGAGAGCGGAAUUCCUGGUGUAGCGGUGAAAUGCGCAGAUAUCAGGAGGAACACCGGUGGCGAAGGCGGAUCUCUGGGCCAUUACUGACGCUGAGGAGCGAAAGCGUGGGGAGCGAACAGG